UCCUAGUUAACCUAGGCAGUCUCAUUAGAGUUCCCACCAUUACGUGCUGGCAACUAAUGACAAGGGUUGCGCUCGUUGCGGGACUUAACCCAACACCUCACGGCACGAGCUGACGACAGCCAUGCAGCACCUGUGCACAGGCCCCGAAGGGAAACAUGAUCUCUCAUGGCGUCCUGUGCAUGUCAAGCCUGGGUAAGGUUCUUCGCGUUGCAUCGAAUUAAACCACAUACUCCACUGCUUGUGCGGGUCCCCGUCAAUUCUUUUGAGUUUCACCCUUGCGAGUGUACUCCUCAGGCGGUAUACUUAUCGCGUUAGCUACGGCACAACUGGGGUUGAGUCCAGCUACACCUAGUAUACAUCGUUUAGGGCAAGGACUAC
RNAcentral lists this unclassified non-coding RNA (378 nucleotides) under uncultured Chlamydiales bacterium. RNAcentral's name for it is "contains 16S-23S intergenic spacer region". The record is from RNAcentral. Lineage: Bacteria; Pseudomonadati; Chlamydiota; Chlamydiia; Chlamydiales.